Molecule: long non-coding RNA, 476 nt
Organism: Oncorhynchus tshawytscha (Chinook salmon)
Lineage: Eukaryota; Metazoa; Chordata; Actinopteri; Salmoniformes; Salmonidae
Source: Ensembl
GGCAGCCUCUGCCCUAAGGGUCAAGCUGCACCCUUCUUGAAGGUUCCUUGGGCAAGUCCAAGCCCUUAAUCUGUUGACCUGGCCCAGAAAGCUGAUUGCUGGGUGCUCGGAGGCCACCACUACUACACCUUUGAUGGCCUGGUGUUUAACUAAUAUGGAAACUACUCUGGUCAGAAAUGCACCCACGCCAGUACUGCAGAACCCUUCUCGGUAAUGGUGCAAACCGACCAUGCUCAGAACCACUUUUCAUCUAUUAAAGCGCUACAGCUCACUGUGUACAAGGACCACACUGUUAUCCAGAGCGGCUGUUGUUGGGUGAAUGGCCAGAGAAGGCUCCUGCCUGUGACUCUCCAUUCUGGCUCGGUGAAGAUCCAUCAGAGCAGUCUGUUCUCGGCCGUUGACACCAGCUUCGGCCUCCAUGUCAAAUACGACUGGUUCUACUACAUCCUGGUAAGCCUGCCCAGGAGAAGCUCUGA